AUUGAACGCUGGCGGCAUGCCUUACACAUGCAAGUCGAACGGUAACGGGCCUUCGGGUGCCGACGAGUGGCGAACGGGUGAGUAAUACAUCGGAACGUGCCCGAUCGUGGGGGAUAACGAGGCGAAAGCUUUGCUAAUACCGCAUACGAUCUACGGAUGGAAGCAGGGGACCGCAAGGCCUUGCGCGGACGGAGCGGCCGAUGGCAGAUUAGGUAGUUGGUGGGAUAAAAGCUUACCAAGCCGACGAUCUGUAGCUGGUCUGAGAGGAUGAUCAGCCACACUGGGACUGAGACACGGCCCAGACUCCUACGGGAGGCAGCAGUGGGGAAUUUUGGACAAUGGGCGCAAGCCUGAUCCAGCCAUGCCGCGUGCAGGAUGAAGGCCUUCGGGUUGUAAACUGCUUUUGUACGGGACGAAAAGCCUUCUUUUAAUACAGGAGGGUCAUGACGGUACCGUAAGAAUAAGCACCGGCUAACUACGUG
This 482-nucleotide ribosomal RNA is filed under the name uncultured bacterium. RNAcentral's name for it is "partial 16S ribosomal RNA". It matches the Rfam family "Bacterial small subunit ribosomal RNA", at positions 30 to 507 of the family's 1533-position model. The record is from RNAcentral.